GGGGGGGUACUGAUAGUUUACAGAAUGAGGAAAGCUCAGGAGGGAAACUUAGUAGUGUAAUAAUGGUGGGUUAGUUCAUUUUGGGAUUUAACCAAAGAGUUUUAUUUUGACUUAAAUUUUUAUUAUAUUAUUUUUUUUACAUGUUGGGGUUAGAAUGUUUAUAUAACUUUUUGGCAGUAUUUGGUAUUGAAAAUUCGUUCAGUUGAGAUUCAGGAAUUAGUGGUGGUUUUAAUCAAACUUGUGCCAGCAAUUGCGGUUAUACAAGUAAUGCAAUUAAAAUUUUUUGGUUAAUAAUUAAUUGUGUAGUCUUUUAGUUUUAAGAUGAAUUUAGGGGGUGAAAUUUAAAAUUCGGUUAAAGCUUGAGGGUUGGUUAUGAAGUUGUUAAAGUUUGCGUUUAAACUAGGAUUAGAUACCCUACUAUUCUAACUGUAAAGUCUCGUGCCUGAUUAUUAGUAGAUAUAUUCUUUAAAAUUAAAAUAUUUGGCGGUAUCUCAGUCUAUUCAGAGGAAUCUGUCCCGUAAUUGAUAGCCCACGAUUUGUUCUACUUUUUCUUUAAGUUUGUAUAUCGCCGUGGUUGAACAUUUCAUUAGAAUGAAAAUGUUCAAUUUGUUCAAUAAAAGUGGAUGUCAGGUCAGGGUGCAGCUCAUGAGGAAGAUGGAGAUGGAUUACUAUAUUUUAUUUCUGGUUUAUUUCUUUUUAAUUAGAAUAAUAAAUAGGAUUUGAUAGUAGUAUUAUUUAGAUUUUUAAUGCGAUUUAGGCUCUGAGGUAUGCACAUAUUGCCCGUCGCUUUCAUUAAGGUGGAAUAAGUCGUAACAAAGUAGAUGUACUGGAAAGUGCUUCUAGAAAUAU
RNAcentral lists this non-coding RNA (849 nucleotides) under Hapsodrilus ignifer. The record is from RNAcentral. Lineage: Eukaryota; Metazoa; Arthropoda; Insecta; Coleoptera; Elateridae.